Pistacia vera is the source of this 598-nucleotide long non-coding RNA. RefSeq lists it as uncharacterized. The record is from RefSeq and is a predicted model, not a curated record. The transcript has 3 exons. Lineage: Eukaryota; Viridiplantae; Streptophyta; Magnoliopsida; Sapindales; Anacardiaceae.
AAUUCUCUUCGGUCCAAUCACUUGCUGUUAUUUUUGCCGUGUCUACCAAAGCUUCAAGUUCUCAAACAAAAAAAGCCCUCGUCAAGGACAUGCAAAAAGUCCUCGUAUGGCGCAGCGAAAAGGUCCAUGCUCAAGGAAACCUUAUCUGAUGAGCAAUUCACGUUCACUGCACCUUUCUCUGACGACCCCCGCGUGGGGAUUCUCGGCGAGGCAUGGCAGGUCUAGUUUGUGCGUUCAGUUUGGACAAGAAGGGUGUCAAGUCCACGGUUUUUGAUACGGGGAUACAUGGUUUGGGAGGAAGAAUGGGAACAAGAAUUAUUGAUCCUCAGCCUUUGAUAUUUGAUCAUGCUGCUCAGUUCUUUACUGUAACUGAUUCUUGGUUUGGUGAAUUGGAGAGAGGUCUGGUGCGGCAGUAGGAAGGCAUGAUCGGAGAGCUUGAAGUGGGUGGGUGAUUUGUUCCAUUUCCUUCUUCCCCUCCAAGAUAUAUUGCUGCUAAUGGGAUGCACCGUCUUGCGACUCAUUAUUGGUUCAGGAAAAUGUGCGAACUGCUUGCUUGGUUCAUCAGGCAUACCUCUCAGUGCUUGACAAGUGAAGGUAA